CAGGUGCUCAAUCAUUGUUUUCAAUUCAAAAUGGUCAAGAAAUACAGAGGAGGUCCAUCUCUCCCUCCUUCCGAGGUACUGAUUUGCUAUAGUCGGAAGAGUCUUCGGACUCUUCACCCAGACAGACUCCCAUCCUCAGUAUUCAUUCAACAGUAUGACUUACAUCCUGCUGAAGAUGGAAAUCCACUGCUCUGAGAGAUGCUGAAUGCUUAGUGUUGGAAGUGUCUUUGAAACCAACAUUUCUACCCUCGCCCAGAAUAGACUCCGUUCUUCAACGUUCAUUCAAUUCUUUUAACAAUAUGGCUAAUAUACUCCUGGAGAUGGAAAACCACUGCUGUGAGAGGACUCAACCAGAAUACUGUCAUCCAGACUAUUGGCUGUUCUCUUGGCUGUAUUUGCUACCUUCUAAAUGAAAAUUUGCUGAAAGCAGUUUUGAUGAAGACGUACGUGAUGAGGAUGAGAGAGAGAACCUGCAGUUGAGCAGACACAUACACUUUGAGCUACAUAAUUAUUUCUCAGUGGGGACAACUGCAGUUGGAUGCCAGAUCUGAGCAGCAUGGGGCCAGGGGGCUUGA
This is a non-coding RNA of Microcebus murinus (gray mouse lemur), 575 nucleotides long. NCBI's taxonomy places the organism in Eukaryota, Metazoa, Chordata, Mammalia, Primates, Cheirogaleidae. The record is from RefSeq and is a predicted model, not a curated record.